This 1154-nucleotide unclassified non-coding RNA is filed under the name Hevea brasiliensis (rubber tree). The record is from RNAcentral. Lineage: Eukaryota; Viridiplantae; Streptophyta; Magnoliopsida; Malpighiales; Euphorbiaceae.
AUUAAAAUUAAAAUUAAAUGAGAAAUUCUUUUCCACCCUCUGUGUUGAUGCAUGUUUUAUUCAAUACAGAAGAACAUUAUAUUACUUAAUUAGCAUGCUUCAUACAUCAUUAAAAUCAUGGAACUGCAACUAUCUUAAUUCCUCAUACAACUUAAUUCAGCUGCUCUUACUGCCUUCCCAAUAGCUUCAUUGAAAUUUAUUCGCAAUGAAUUAUAGUUUCCCCGAAAAGGAAUCCCAUUAGGCUGCUAGUUCUUCAACUCUUGCCAUUAAUAUCUUCAUUAACCACGAGCUGCAACUGCUUGGGUUUGUCUUCAUUCUUUUCUAAAUCCCAUUUUUGUGGCUUUUCCAUGACACCCCUUUUUCUAUACUUGCAGUACAACACAAGUUGGAGGAUGCCUAAUGGGGUACCGAGCAAAUUAGGAGACGCUAGAAAGAUAUCACGGCUGAAUAGUCCAUAAGCUAGCCACAGAGAACUUGCCAGGAAUGAAAAAAAUGAUAAGUAGAAUGGCAUGAAUUCCACGCUCUUUGUUUGUAUUACUUGCUUCAUAACCACUAGUGGAGAACCAUACAUUCCCACAGACCCCACCAGACCAACACUUCCUGUGAAUACCUUGCGACUAUGGUGAUCGUGGAACGCAAAAGAUGAGAUAGCUGCAGUUAUGGAGAAAAACAGGAGGACAGGAAGCAACAUAACACCAACUUUUAUCUGCACAUUCAUAAAUUUUUAAAGUUAAAAUAGAUGUUAAGAGUUCAAAUCUUAUACUUCUUGCACUAUAAUUAGAUACUUGAUUCAUGUAAAUUUUAAUUAUAUAUUGGCUGGCAUAUAUAUAUGUGGAAAUAAAUCAAGAACGUAAAUAAUAUUAAUAAUAAUAAAGAAUGUUUCUCAUUUGCUCACCCUUCCUCUAGUUUCAGCGAAGCGAAAAUAUAUGAUAAUGAAAGAAGUCUCAAGAAAGAUGCCUAAACCAUUGAUAGUGACGAGAGGGAAGUUUUCCCAUUUGUAGCUCACAACAGGUAAUCCAUACCAAGUGUAAAGGAGACAGUUUAACAAUGUAAUGAUGUAAGGAACGCAUGAAAACUCCUCGGUGCUUCUCUUCCUUACCACCCUUGUGAAAGUUAAUAUGGGUGCAGUGUAAAGUAACAAGGAAGCUGCAUUG